UGCAGAAUUCAGUGAAUCAUUGAAUCUUUGAACGCAUCUUGCACCUUUUGGUAUUCCAAAAGGUACACCUGUUUGAGUGUCAU
This 83-nucleotide ribosomal RNA is filed under the name Uromyces rumicis. RNAcentral's name for it is "partial 5.8S ribosomal RNA". It matches the Rfam family "5.8S ribosomal RNA", at positions 73 to 154 of the family's 154-position model. From Rfam's summary of the family: 5.8S ribosomal RNA (5.8S rRNA) is a component of the large subunit of the eukaryotic ribosome. The record is from RNAcentral. Lineage: Eukaryota; Fungi; Basidiomycota; Pucciniomycetes; Pucciniales; Pucciniaceae.